Molecule: ribosomal RNA, 927 nt
Filed under: Triticum aestivum (bread wheat)
Lineage: Eukaryota; Viridiplantae; Streptophyta; Magnoliopsida; Poales; Poaceae
Description: partial small subunit ribosomal RNA
Source: RNAcentral
AUGUCUGGUAGAGCAUUACUCGCCGACGUCAAGGUUCCCACGGUGACGCGGAAGGUGAUGGAGGUCACGGUGCGGCCCGAGAAGAAGAAGCCCCAGCGAGGAGGUCGGGGCCAUCACUUCACGCGGCAUGGCGGGCGCAAGGGACUCAGCCUGGACUACGACGAGGAGGACUUUGAGGCCGAUUUCAAGGACUAUGACUUGGAGCUCGGGUGCGGUGGGGUGGCCGAGAAGGAUGAUGACUACGAGUCCCUCUCCGAAGAUGACUUAAGCACCAUGCCUAUUGCUGGUUUUGAUGGUCCUGCAGAAAGGUCAGCAAAAAGGAAGGGAAAGAACCAAAUCAAGGGUAUCCGUCACUGCCCCUUGGGUAAGUGGGCUGCUGAAAUCAAAGAUCCUAGCAAGGGUGUCAGUGUCUGGCUCGAUACUUUCAACAGUGCUAAAGAAGCUGGAAGAGCUUAUGAUGCUGAAGCACGCCAAAUCUAUGGUAAGAAGGCCAAGGUUAACUUUCUAGAGGAACCAACAGGAUAUGUCGACUUUGCAUCAAUCCAGCCACUUGUUCCUGCAAUGAACUCUGUUGCCCCUGUUAAAGCUCCUAUUAUGGAUAUGUACUCUGACCAGGGAAGCAACUCUUUUGGCUGCUCUGACUUGGGCUGGGAGUAUGAGACCAAGAGUCUAGAUAUAUGAUCCAUUUCUACCAUUGCCGAAGGAGCAGAAUCUACGCUUGUCGAGAAUAACACCUACAACUCACUGGUGCCUCCUGUUAUGGAGAAUAAUGCUGCCAGUUCUGAACCUUGGAUGAGAUAUCUUAUGGAUGACGAUGUGGAUGAGCUGAUUGAUGGCCUAGUGAAUUUUGAUGAGCCUUAGGAUGUCAUUGGCAACAUGGACCUUUGGAGCUUCGAUAACAUGCCCGUCUCUGGAGAAUUUGUCUAA